AGAGUUUGAUCCUGGCUCAGAAUCAACGCUGGCGGCGUGCCUAACACAUGCAAGUCGAACGCGGUUAGUAGCAAUACUAACUGAGUGGCGAACGGGUGAGUAACACGUGGGUGACCUACCUUCGAGUGGGGGAUAACGUCCCGAAAGGGACGCUAAUACCGCAUGACAUCCUCUUUUUGAACAGAGAGAGAUCAAAGCCGGGGAUCGCAAGACCCGGCGCUUGAUGAGGGGCCCGCGUCUGAUUAGCUAGUUGGUGGGGUAACGGCUCACCAAGGCGACGAUCAGUAUCCGGCCUGAGAGGGCGGACGGACACACUGGGACUGAGACACGGCCCAGACUCCUACGGGAGGCAGCAGUGGGGAAUUGUUCGCAAUAGGCGCAAGCCUGACGACGCAACGCCGCGUGGAGGAUGAAGAUCUUCGGGUCGUAAACUCCUGUCGAGCGGGACGAACACCUGCCGGUUUAAUACACUGGCAGGCUGACGGUACCGCUAAAGGAAGCCCCGGCUAACUCCGUGCCAGCAGCCGCGGUAAUACGGGGGGGGCAAGCGUUGUUCGGAAUUACUGGGCGUAAAGGGCUCGUAGGCGGCCAACUAAGUCAGACGUGAAAUCCCCAGGCUCAACCUGGGAACUGCGUCUGAUACUGGAUGGCUUGAAUCCGGGAGAGGGAUGCAGAAUUCCAGGUGUAGCGGUGAAAUGCGUAGA
This 704-nucleotide ribosomal RNA is filed under the name uncultured bacterium. Its description in RNAcentral is "bacterial SSU rRNA". It matches the Rfam family "Bacterial small subunit ribosomal RNA", at positions 8 to 694 of the family's 1533-position model. The record is from RNAcentral.